GUGGGGAAUAUUGGACAAUGGGCGAAAGCCUGAUCCAGCCAUGCCGCGUGUGUGAAGAAGGUCUUCGGAUUGUAAAGCACUUUAAGUUGGGAGGAAGGGCAGUAAGUUAAUACCUUGCUGUUUUGACGUUACCGACAGAAUAAGCACCGGCUAACUUCGUGCCAGCAGCCGCGGUAAUACGAAGGGUGCAAGCGUUAAUCGGAAUUACUGGGCGUAAAGCGCGCGUAGGUGGUUUUGUAAGUUGGAGGUGAAAUCCCCGGGCUCAACCUGGGAACGGCCUCCAAAACUGCAUGACUAGAGUACGGUAGAAGGUAGUGGAAUUUCCUGUGUAGCGGUUAAAUGCGUAGAUAUAGGAAGGAACACCAGUGGCGAAGGCGACUACCUGGACUGAUACUGACACUGAGGUGCGAAAGCGUGGGGAGCAAACAGGAUUAGAAACCCUUGUAGUCC
This 450-nucleotide ribosomal RNA is filed under the name uncultured bacterium. RNAcentral's name for it is "bacterial SSU rRNA". It matches the Rfam family "Bacterial small subunit ribosomal RNA", at positions 354 to 796 of the family's 1533-position model. The record is from RNAcentral.